Molecule: transfer RNA, 76 nt
Filed under: Vibrio sp.
Lineage: Bacteria; Pseudomonadati; Pseudomonadota; Gammaproteobacteria; Vibrionales; Vibrionaceae
Also listed under: 5 other names
Description: tRNA-Asn
Rfam family: tRNA
About the family: Transfer RNA (tRNA) molecules are approximately 80 nucleotides in length. Their secondary structure includes four short double-helical elements and three loops (D, anti-codon, and T loops).
Source: RNAcentral
UCCCUGUUAGUUCAGUUGGUAGAACGGCGGACUGUUAAUCCGUAUGUCGCUGGUUCAAGUCCAGCACAGGGAGCCA